This 253-nucleotide ribosomal RNA is filed under the name uncultured bacterium. RNAcentral describes it as "partial 16S ribosomal RNA". It matches the Rfam family "Bacterial small subunit ribosomal RNA", at positions 524 to 776 of the family's 1533-position model. The record is from RNAcentral.
UACGGAGGAUGCAAGCGUUAUCCGGAAUGAUUGGGCGUAAAGCGUCCGCAGGUGGCUAUGUAAGUCUGCUGUUAAAGAGUGAGGCUCAACCUCAUAAGAGCAGUGGAAACUACAUAGCUAGAGUGCGUUCGGGGCAGAGGGAAUUCCUGGUGUAGCGGUGAAAUGCGUAGAUAUCAGGAAGAACACCGGUGGCGAAAGCGCUCUGCUAGGCCGCAACUGACACUGAGGGACGAAAGCUAGGGAAGCGAAUGGG